RNAcentral lists this small nuclear RNA (102 nucleotides) under Macaca nemestrina (pig-tailed macaque). Lineage: Eukaryota; Metazoa; Chordata; Mammalia; Primates; Cercopithecidae. The record is from RNAcentral.
UUGCUUUCGGUACACAUAUACUAAAGUUGGAACAAUAGAGAGAUUUGCAUGGCCCUUGUGCAUAGAAAGACAUGCAAAUUCUGUGAAGCAUUCCUUUUUUUA